AUUAAAUAUUAUUAAAUAUUAUUAAUUAUAAAUAAUAAUAGAAAAUAUUUACUUUUAUUUUAUAAUAUAUUUAAUAUAUUUUAUUUUAUUUAUAACCAUUUUACAGAACCCCAGACCAAAGCAAACUCCGUGAUUCUUUUCCCUUCAUUCCUUUCUCUCCCUUUAUUUAUUUCCCUUUAUUCCUUUCUCUCCAUUCCUUUCUCUCCCUUUAUUCUUUCCCUUUAUUCCUUUCCCUCCAUUCCUUUCUUUCCCUUUAUUCCUUUCCCUCCAUUUCUUUCUCUCCAUUCCUUUCUCUCUCUAUUUCUUUCGCUUUCCAGCUGCAGAGUCGGAGCCGGAGGAUCAGGAACUGAAUCCCAAAGGGAGAGGCCCCGUGGCUGUUUUGCCGAUAACGCACUGGGAAAGGCUCUUCCCUUUUCCCGCUUUUCCGUAAAUUCCCGAAUUUCCCGCGGAUAACGGGGCAGCUGUGGCAGCAAGGAGACCCCUCAAGAUCCCGAAAGGAGAGCGCAAUUCCUUGGAGCAGCACUCCAAUAAAUAAUUAUAAUAUCAUAUCAUAUCAGGCUGGGAACUGCCCUGCGUUCCGCCUUCUUCCCGUGGAAUGGAGAUUCCUCCUUUUCUGGAGUUUAUCCCAAAAACACCCAAACGUUCUCCUGGGAAUGCCGGCGGUGAGGUCUGGAGCCUCCUGCCCUGGAGGUGUCCAGGGAAUUCCUGGAUGUGGCACCCAGGUGGGGACUGGGAACAGCUUGGACUGACCUUGGAGGGCUUUUCCGACCUCAGGGAUUCCGGAAUUCCAUUUUCCAAGCGCUGCUCUCCCUUCUCCGGAUUUUUCACCCUGGUGAAGAUCUGAGCUGAAGGAAAUGAAACUCUUCGAAAUCAGGACGAUCCCAGCCAGGAAUCCAUGAAUUUUCAGGAUUUUGGAUGUCCAGGAGGAAAUCUUGACAGGAUGUUGAGUCACAAUCUUGGAAUUUUUAUUUAAAACCUGAUUAAAAUGGAAAUAUUUCCUGGAAUGCAGCAGAGGUGAAGAUCUGAGCUGAAGGAAAGGAAACUCUUCCAAAUCUGGACAAUCGCGGUCGGGAAUCCAUGAAUUUUCAGGAUUUUGGAUGUGCAGGAGGAAAUCUAGAUGG
Molecule: long non-coding RNA, 1121 nt
Filed under: Cyanistes caeruleus (blue tit)
Lineage: Eukaryota; Metazoa; Chordata; Aves; Passeriformes; Paridae
Description: lncRNA (ENSCCEG00000006417.1)
Source: RNAcentral